Molecule: ribosomal RNA, 533 nt
Filed under: uncultured archaeon
Lineage: Archaea
Description: bacterial SSU rRNA
Rfam family: Archaeal small subunit ribosomal RNA
Source: RNAcentral
AAACUUUGCAAUGUGCGAAAGCACGACAAGGUUAAUCCGAGUGAUUCCUGCUAAAGGAAUCUUUUGUUAGUCAUAAUACCACUAACGAAUAAGGGGUGGGCAAGUUCUGGUGUCAGCCGCCGCGGUAAAACCAGCACCUCAAGUGGUCAGGAUGAUUAUUGGGCCUAAAGCAUCCGUAGCCGGCUUUGUUAGUUUUCGGUUAAAUCCAUAUGCUCAACAUAUGGGCUGCCGGGAAUACUGCAAAGCUAGGGAGUGGGAGAGGUAGACGGUACUCCGUAGGAAGGGGUAAAAUCCUUUGAUCUAUGGAUGACCACCUGUGGCGAAGGCGGUCUACCAGAACACGUCCGACGGUGAGGGAUGAAAGCUGGGGGAGCAAACCGGAUUAGAUACCCGGGUAGUCCCAGCUGUAAACUAUGCAAACUCAGUGAUGCAUUGGCUUGUGGCCAGUGCAGUGCCGCAGGGAAGCCGUUAAGUUUGCCGCCUGGGAAGUACGUACGCAAGUAUGAAACUUAAAGGAAUUGGCGGGGGAGCAC